This 407-nucleotide ribosomal RNA is filed under the name uncultured bacterium. Its description in RNAcentral is "partial 16S ribosomal RNA". It matches the Rfam family "Bacterial small subunit ribosomal RNA", at positions 30 to 526 of the family's 1533-position model. The record is from RNAcentral.
AUUGAACGCUAGCGGGAUGCUUUACACAUGCAAGUCGAACGCAGUGGCGGACGGGUGAGUAAUUUAUCGGAACGUGCCCAGUAGCGGGGGAUAACUACUCGAAAGAGUGGCUACUACCGCUUACUAUUGGUGCGGCCGAUAUCGGAUUAGCUAGUUGGUGGGGGAAAGGCUCACCAAGGCAACGAUCCGUAGCUGGUUUGAGAGGACGACCAGCCACACUGGGACUGGGACACGGCCCAGACUCCGACGGGAGGCAGCAGUGGGGAAUUUUGGGCAAUGGGGGAAACCCUGAUCCAGCCAACCCGCGUGUAUGAUGAAGGCCUUCGGGUUGUAAAGUACUUGUUGCAGAGAAGCGGUAUCUGCAGAAUAAGCACCGGCUAACUACGUGCCAGCAGCCGCGGUAAUAC